RNAcentral lists this non-coding RNA (127 nucleotides) under pig gut metagenome. RNAcentral's name for it is "SAM riboswitch (S box leader)". It matches the Rfam family "SAM riboswitch aptamer (S box leader)". From Rfam's summary of the family: The SAM riboswitch is found upstream of a number of genes which code for proteins involved in methionine or cysteine biosynthesis in Gram-positive bacteria. The record is from RNAcentral.
CUUAUCACGAGUGGCAGAGGGAUGGGCCCGAUGAAGCCACGGCAGCCGGUCAGAUCGCAGUCUGAUGUCAAGGUGCCAAAUCCCACAACGCAGCACACCCCACAUUGCUGGAAGCGUUGACAGAUAA